CAGCAGCCACGGGAAUACAGAGGGUGCGAGCGUUAAUCGGAAUUACUGGGCGUAAAGCGUGCGUAGGCGGCUUGUUAAGUCGGAUGUGAAAUCCCUGGGCUUAACUUAGGAAUUGCAGUCGAUACUGGGAAGCUAGAGUAUGGGAGAGGAUGGUAGAAUUCCAGGUGUAGCGGUGAAAUGCGUAGAGAUCUGGAGGAAUACCAAUGGCGAAGGCAGCCAUCUGGCCUAAUACUGACGCUGAGGCACGAAAGCAUGGGGAGCAAACAGGAUUAGAUACCCGUGUAGUCCCUGUCUCUUAUAC
This 301-nucleotide ribosomal RNA is filed under the name uncultured bacterium. Its description in RNAcentral is "partial 16S ribosomal RNA". It matches the Rfam family "Bacterial small subunit ribosomal RNA", at positions 509 to 807 of the family's 1533-position model. The record is from RNAcentral.